This 72-nucleotide transfer RNA is filed under the name Streptomyces phage LilMartin. It matches the Rfam family "tRNA". Rfam says of the family: Transfer RNA (tRNA) molecules are approximately 80 nucleotides in length. Their secondary structure includes four short double-helical elements and three loops (D, anti-codon, and T loops). Lineage: Duplodnaviria; Heunggongvirae; Uroviricota; Caudoviricetes; Stanwilliamsviridae. RNAcentral also lists the same sequence under 2 other names. The record is from Rfam by way of RNAcentral.
GGCACUUUAGCUGAGAUGGAUUAGCGAUAGCCUGAAAAGCUUUAGAGGUGGGCUCGAUACCCACAGGUGCCA